GCAUCAUUUAAGACGCGUGGAAUCCUCAGAGUCUGCUCUCUUGCAGAUAUGCUCAAAUGCGUUGGACAGAACAACACGACAGGGUAGCCCAGGUACACGUUCGCACCCAUUAUUCGUCCAGUACAGACGAACAGAUGGUUGACUACAUGGUGGGACUGUAUCCGGAGCUGGAUCGCGAGACCGUGAGAAUGCAUGUUCGAUUCUGGGUCGUUUACUACCGUCAAAAGGCGUGAUCUAUCAUCAUUGGGGGAAGUUGAGGGAGGAGGCAUUCGUGGGCCACUGCUGGAACGAGAUCUGAGUCCGGUCAAAAGGACGAGACCGAACAAAUCAUCAUCUCUGGGGUAGAAAGAAGAGCUAUUCCAAGCAUAUUCUGAAGUUCACUGAGCUGAAAUUGCCCUAACAGUGGACGUGAGAGGGGAGGAGCAGGAGCAGGAGGACAUUGGCUGAUUGAUUAGGUCAGAAGAACUCAAAUUCGGAUAUAUUCUGUGA
RNAcentral lists this unclassified non-coding RNA (489 nucleotides) under Yarrowia lipolytica. The record is from RNAcentral. Lineage: Eukaryota; Fungi; Ascomycota; Dipodascomycetes; Dipodascales.